This 74-nucleotide transfer RNA is filed under the name Candidatus Berkelbacteria bacterium. RNAcentral describes it as "tRNA-Met". It matches the Rfam family "tRNA". From Rfam's summary of the family: Transfer RNA (tRNA) molecules are approximately 80 nucleotides in length. Their secondary structure includes four short double-helical elements and three loops (D, anti-codon, and T loops). The record is from RNAcentral. Lineage: Bacteria; Candidatus Berkelbacteria.
CGCGGGGUAGAGCAGUCCGGUAGCUCGCCAGGCUCAUAACCUGGAGGUCGCAGGUUCGAAUCCUGCCCCCGCUA